This 1429-nucleotide small RNA is filed under the name Malus domestica (apple). Its description in RNAcentral is "sRNA MD11G0167100". Lineage: Eukaryota; Viridiplantae; Streptophyta; Magnoliopsida; Rosales; Rosaceae. The record is from RNAcentral.
CGGACAGGUGCAGUAGUAAUUGCAAUCGUCACUGCCUCACUCAGUCACUUUCACUGUUGGUCAGCAGCUGAGGGUUUGCCUUCCAUUCCAUUUCCAGGUCUGAGCUGAGCUUUGUCAGAGAUUCAUAGUCCAUCUUUUGCUUCCAUGGAAACGUAAAUCUCUCCUCUCCAGUCUCCACCGAUGAUGCUUUUAACUGUUUGCUUUCUCAUGGUUAAGGGUGUGAAUUGAAAUGGUAGAUCGAAGGGUCAGAAGAAGGUGAAGGACGAUCUUGUAUCCGUCGACUUCUCCUGGGAAGUUCAAAACUUUUCCAAGUUGAAUAACUUCAAGCAUUACUCUGACGUUUUCGCAAUCGACGAUUAUAAAUGGCAAAUCCUUUUGUAUCCAAGGGGAAACAAUGUAGACUUCCUAUCGGUGUAUUUGGUUGUUGUGGAGUCUUCAAAACUGCCACCAGGAUGGUCUAGAUAUGCUGCUUUCAGCUUGACUUUGGUCAAUCAACUUCAUCCCAGCAACUCAAAAACAUUGGAUACGAGCAAAGACAACACUGACUAGACAGGAAGUAGAAUGGUAGCAGUAAGCCGACACUGAGCAUGUGUUCGAUAAAAGGGGAAGUGACUGGGGCUUCACAUCGUUAAUUCCUCUAAGUGAGUUUUGUGACAGUGGUAAAGGGUAUCUUGUGAAUGAUAUGUGUAUCAUUAGGGCCAAAGUUGCUGUCUCGAAGGCUGAAAUUAAUAUAUUAGAACACAAUGCAAGUAGUUCUGCACCUAUUAAGCACUUAAACAAAAAACGUAGAGUGCUGGAUUACGUGCUGGCCAUCAACGACCUUACUUAUGCUCCUCCUGGCCCUCCCAUAGUCAAGGAACCUGAGGACAUGUCUUCCCCACCAGCUGCAGAGCUCGAGGAUUUUAGGGGUUUAGGGAAAAUAGAGAAAGCUUUCGUUCCUCUGCUAGAUGAGGUUUGUUCGUGGCAUCCUUCGCUGACUGAAUGUCAACGCAAGAGAAGUCGCAUGUUUACUGAGUGGGCGUUCACAGCUUUGGGCCGGCUAUUGCAUUUUAUGAAGACGAAAAAGGUCAAGGACAUGACAGAUGAUGCAUGUGAGCAACUGAAACUUUUGUGGGAGGAGCUUGAGGCCUUCAAAUUUGACUUGGCUUGGCUGGCGCCUGGUGUUCAAAGGGCUUUGGACAUGAACAAGAUUGUGGAAAGUGCAGGGAAGUUGAAAAGGUUGAGAAAGGACGUGGACUAGCUGUUGCGGAGGCAAAUCUUGAGGCAGCAGUAAGAGAUUUAAACAAGACUGAAGAAGGCCUGGACGAGAUAGACAUCAACGGUGAGCUAGUUUACGGUAGGGGUUAGCCUUAUUUGAGGAUUCUUUUUUGACGUGCUCCUCAAGUUUGUUAAUGUAGGAUUUUCAAGUUGUAUGAAUAAACAAAUAAAC